This 1388-nucleotide long non-coding RNA is filed under the name Equus asinus (donkey). Its description in RNAcentral is "lncRNA (ENSEASG00005038068.1)". Lineage: Eukaryota; Metazoa; Chordata; Mammalia; Perissodactyla; Equidae. The record is from RNAcentral.
UGGAGAACCUGCAUUUCUAACAAGUUCCCAGGCGAUGCUGAUGUUUCUCGUCCAGCGACCACACUUUGAAAACUUCUGCUUAGCAGAUACUGCCAAACUGUUUUCCAAAGUAUUUGUACCAAUUUACCAUCCCACCAAGAUGAGAGUGCCAGUUGCUCUGCUUGGUAUUAUCCUCCUUUUAAAUUCCGGUCAUAUGGAUGGAGAUGGAAGGUGAAAAGUCAAUAUGUGGGGCAUGGAACCUUCUAGAAGAGCAACUGAUGUUGUCUCUCCACUUCUCCAAGAAGCCCGCUGAACAUGUGUAUUCAUCAGAGCCUCAGAUGCCACAGGAACUUGGAAAGGCUGAGCAGAAAGGAGGGGGUGCAGCAGGAAGCAACAUAUCUCAAAUCAGAACCAACUCACGGAGGCUGGCCCCCAAAGUUGUCACUGCUGCAGCCUACUGCAAUGUAGUCGGGUCAGGUGGAGUUCCCCAACUGGACGAAGAGCACCAUCAACAUUGACUGGCAAUACUUCAGAGGCCUUUUGGUGAUUGUUAGACUGGGCAGGACAGGAGGUGACACUGUGCAAUGAUUGAAAAAGAGACUCUGAAAAGAUAGAGAAAGGAGAAGGAACUGGUGGUUUUGAAAUAGAACUGUGGAUAGAGGGGGUCAGGGGAAGAAGAGGAUGGAGGACAUUCAUCUUCAGAAGAAAGCAUCAGGGGUCCUGGCUCUUGAAGAGAGGAAGGGAGACAGGGUAGGUGCUGGUUGCAUGGGGAAAGAUGACAGAGCAUGGAUAUGAGACCCAAGCACCCCCAAUAACUGGGAUUGGACAUUUCUAGUCAGUCUGCCUAUGAGGAGAGUGAUAAAGCCUGGUGGGGAUAUUUGAUGGAUGAACCAAGGAAGAAGUAUGUGAGGUGAGAUUUUUAUAAAGAUGUGGUGGAAGACCAAUGAGAUUGUGAAUCAGGGAUGGAAAAUGUAGGACGUGUUUACUUCCUCUUUGGGCAGGAAAAGAAGAAAAGAAAACCCAUUGGCUUUAGAAUUUUUAUAUGUUUGCUAAGUGAAGUGACAAAAUGGCGUCUGAGAAGAGACCUUUGAGACACACCAGUUGAAAGAGGAAUGAUGGUGAGAAGCUAUUAGUGUUUAAGGGCUCCCUGAACCUGUGAGAGAUAAGAUUGGGUUUGGCUCAGGAAGGAGGACAAAAGUUAAAGGUCCAGGGACAAGUGAGCUAAAUCCAACCGUUUUUAUGGGAGAAGAGGAAGAAGAAAGAAGUGGGAUCCCCCAAAUAAUAAAAAAGUAGGAGUCCAGAAAGCGAAAGAAAAGGCCUCAAUGAGUGUGAAGUGAGCCAAGAACUCUGGAUUUGAACCCAGAGUCAAGUCUUUCCAUCGGUGUUCCAUGGGCGAGUACUAGCUUCUC